AGCGGCGGACGGGUGAGUAACGCGUGGGCAACCUGCCUUUCACAGAGGGAUAGCCAAAGGAAACUUUGAUUAAAACCUCAUAAAGCCGGAAUAGUGCAUAAUAUACCGGCCAAAGAUUUAUCGGUGAAAGAUGGGCCCGCGUCUGAUUAGCUAGUUGGUGGGGUAACGGCUCACCAAGGCAACGAUCAGUAGCCGACCUGAGAGGGUGAUCGGCCACAUUGGAACUGAGACACGGUCCAAACUCAAACGGGAGGCAGCAGUGGGGAAUAUUGCACAAUGGGCGCAAGCCUGAUGCAGCAACGCCGCGUGAACGAAGAAGGCCUUCGGGUCGUAAAGUUCUGUCCAUAGGGAAGAAAAAAUGACCGGUACCUAUGGAGGAAGCCCCGGCUAAAUACGUGCCAGCAGCCGCGGUAAUACGUAUGGGGCAAGCGUUAUCCGGAAUUAUUGGGCGUAAAGAGUGCGUAGGUGGUGGCUUAAGCGCAGGGUUUAAGGCAAUGGCUUAACUAUUGUUCGCCUUGCGAACUGGGUCACUUGAGUACAGGAGAGGAAAGCGGAAUUCCUAGUGUAGCGGUGAAAUGCAUAGAUAUUAGGAGGAACACCGGUGGCGAAGGCGGCUUUCUGGACUGCAACUGACACUGAGGCACGAAAGCGUGGGUAGCAAACAGGAUUAGAUACCCUGGUAGUCCACGCCGUAAACGAUGAGCACUAGGUGUCGGCCACUAAAGGUCGGUGCCGCAGUUAACGCAUUAAGUGCUCCGCCUGGGGAGUACGCACGCAAGUGUAAAACUCAAAGGAAUUGACGGGGACCCGCACAAGCAGCGGAGCAUGUGGUUUAAUUCGAAGCAACGCGAAGAACCUUACCAGAGCUUGACAUCCCUCUGACAGAUCCUUAAUCGGAUUCUUCUUCGGACAGAGGAGACAGGUGGUGCAUGGUUGUCGUCAGCUCGUGUCGUGAGAUGUUGGGUUAAGUCCCGCAACGAGCGCAACCCUUAUCAUUAGUUGCCAUCAUUAAGUUGGGCACUCUAGUGAGACUGCCGGGGACAACUCGGAGGAAGGUGGGGAUGACGUCAAAUCAUCAUGCCCCUUAUGUUCUGGGCUACACACGUGCUACAAUGGUCGGUACAGAAAGCAGCGAAACCGUGAGGUGAAGCCAAUCUCCAAAACCGAUCUCAGUUCGGAUUGUAGGCUGCAACUCGCCUACAUGAAGUCGGAGUUGCUAGUAAUCGCAGAUCAGAAUGCUGCGGUGAAUGCGUUCCCGGGUCUUGUACACACCGCCCGUCACACCAUGGAAGUUGGGGGUGCCCGAAGU
This 1309-nucleotide ribosomal RNA is filed under the name Clostridiales bacterium S5-A14a. Its description in RNAcentral is "16S ribosomal RNA". It matches the Rfam family "Bacterial small subunit ribosomal RNA", at positions 94 to 1427 of the family's 1533-position model. Lineage: Bacteria; Bacillati; Bacillota; Clostridia; Peptostreptococcales; Anaerovoracaceae. The record is from RNAcentral.